UCCGAGUGCCCCAAGCGUUAUCCGGAAUCAUUGGGCGUAAAGGGUGUGUAGGCGGCGCGAUUAGUCUUCUGUCAAAAUUCGGGGCUCAACCCUGGACUCGCAGAGGAAACGGUCGUGCUCGAGGGUGCGAGAGGUGAAUGGAACUCAUGGAGUAGGGGUGAAAUCCGUUGAUAUCAUGGGGAACACCAAAAGCGAAGGCAAUUCACUGGCGCAUUUCUGACGCUGAAACACGAAAGCGUGGGGAGCGAACAGG
RNAcentral lists this ribosomal RNA (253 nucleotides) under uncultured bacterium. Its description in RNAcentral is "partial 16S ribosomal RNA". It matches the Rfam family "Bacterial small subunit ribosomal RNA", at positions 524 to 776 of the family's 1533-position model. The record is from RNAcentral.